Molecule: non-coding RNA, 73 nt
Organism: Zopfia rhizophila CBS 207.26
Lineage: Eukaryota; Fungi; Ascomycota; Dothideomycetes; Zopfiaceae
Source: the annotation of a GenBank genome assembly
GGUGAUGUAGCGCAGUGCUAAGCACGCAGCGAGCAAGAGCACUGAGGCGACGGUUCGAUUCUAUCCACCGCCA